UACGUAGGGUGCGAGCGUUGUCCGGAAUUAUUGGGCGUAAAGAGCUUGUAGGCGGUUUGUCGCGUCUGCUGUGAAAAUCCGGGGCUCAACUCCGGACUUGCAGUGGGUACGGGCAGGCUGGAGUUCGGUAGGGGAGACUGGAAUUCCUGGUGUAGCGGUGAAAUGCGCAGAUAUCAGGAGGAACACCGGUGGCGAAGGCGGGUCUCUGGGCCGAUACUGACGCUGAGGAGCGAAAGCGUGGGGAGCGAACAGG
RNAcentral lists this ribosomal RNA (253 nucleotides) under uncultured bacterium. RNAcentral's name for it is "partial 16S ribosomal RNA". It matches the Rfam family "Bacterial small subunit ribosomal RNA", at positions 524 to 776 of the family's 1533-position model. The record is from RNAcentral.